CAGCAGCCGCGGGAAUACAGAGGGUGCGAGCGUUAAUCGGAUUUACUGGGCGUAAAGCGUGCGUAGGCGGCUUUUUAAGUUGGAUGUGAAAUCCCUGAGCUUAACUUAGGAAUUGCAUUCGAUACUGGGAAGCUAGAGUAUGGGAGAGGAUGGUAGAAUUCCAGGUGUAGCGGUGAAAUGCGUAGAGAUCUGGAGGAAUACCGAUGGCGAAGGCAGCCAUCUGGCCUAAUACUGACGCUGAGGUACGAAAGCAUGGGGAGCAAACAGGAUUAGAUACCCGUGUAGUCCCUGUCUCUUAUAC
Molecule: ribosomal RNA, 301 nt
Filed under: uncultured bacterium
Lineage: Bacteria
Description: partial 16S ribosomal RNA
Rfam family: Bacterial small subunit ribosomal RNA
Source: RNAcentral